CCCCUCUCAGGAUCGCACAGGGAGAGUUUCCAGUACUCUACCAGUCUCGAGUAUGGGAGGGAGAGUCAAUCAGAGACAUGCCCAUUCCAUUCCUAGCUUAGCCAGUGGCUAGCAAAUGGAAGACAAUCUGCUACACGU
Ornithorhynchus anatinus (platypus) is the source of this 138-nucleotide non-coding RNA. NCBI's taxonomy places the organism in Eukaryota, Metazoa, Chordata, Mammalia, Monotremata, Ornithorhynchidae. The record is from Rfam.